CUGCUAGUGUUGGUAUUGAUUCUGCCAGUAGCUACUGCUAGUGUUGAAAGGGUAUUCUCUUCAAUGAACUAUGUGAAGAAUAAGCUAAGGAACAAAAUGGGUGAUGAUUAUUUGAACAAUUGUUUGGUUACAUUUGUUGAGAGGGAAUUUUUCAAUCAAGUGAAGGAUGAAGAUGUCAUCAAUUUGUUCCAAAAAGGCGACCACAAAGUUAUAUUGUAA
Molecule: ribosomal RNA, 219 nt
Filed under: Triticum aestivum (bread wheat)
Lineage: Eukaryota; Viridiplantae; Streptophyta; Magnoliopsida; Poales; Poaceae
Description: partial small subunit ribosomal RNA
Source: RNAcentral